ACGAACGCUGGCGGCGUGCUUAACACAUGCAAGUCGAACGGUGAAGCGCCUUCCUUUUUGGUGGGUGUGGAUGAGUGGCGAACGGGUGAGUAACACGUGAGUAACCUGCCCCCUUCUUCUGGAUAACCGCAUGAAAGUGUGGCUAAUACGGGAUAUUCUGGGUCUGUCGCAUGAUGGGUCUGGGAAAGAUAUUGUUUCGGUGGGGGAUGGGCUCGCGGCCUAUCAGCUUGUUGGUGGGGUGAUGGCCUACCAAGGCGGUGACGGGUAGCCGGCCUGAGAGGGUGGACGGUCACACUGGGACUGAGACACGGCCCAGACUCCUACGGGAGGCAGCAGUGGGGAAUAUUACACAAUGGGCGCAAGCCUGAUGCAGCGACGCCGCGUGAGGGAUGGAGGCCUUCGGGUUGUGAACCUCUUUCGCCAGUGAAGCAGGCCUGCCUCGUUUGUGGGUGGGUUGACGGUAGCUGGAUAAGAAGCGCCGGCUAACUAC
RNAcentral lists this ribosomal RNA (490 nucleotides) under uncultured bacterium. RNAcentral's name for it is "partial 16S ribosomal RNA". It matches the Rfam family "Bacterial small subunit ribosomal RNA", at positions 29 to 504 of the family's 1533-position model. The record is from RNAcentral.